RNAcentral lists this small nucleolar RNA (106 nucleotides) under Gossypium hirsutum (cotton). RNAcentral describes it as "Plant small nucleolar RNA R71". It matches the Rfam family "Plant small nucleolar RNA R71". Rfam says of the family: R71 is a member of the C/D box family of snoRNAs containing the C (UGAUGA) and D (CUGA) box motifs. Multiple nearly identical copies of this snoRNA have been identified in Arabidopsis, and it is thought to function as a 2'-O-ribose methylation guide for 18S ribosomal RNA. The record is from Rfam by way of RNAcentral. Lineage: Eukaryota; Viridiplantae; Streptophyta; Magnoliopsida; Malvales; Malvaceae.
AUCCCGAGAUGAGGGCCUCUAUGUAGUAACUCCUUGAAUCUUUCCCACGCCUCGUAUAAGGACUCAUCAUCCAAUUGUUGAAAAGUGGUGAUCUCAUUCUGUAACU